RNAcentral lists this ribosomal RNA (274 nucleotides) under uncultured prokaryote. RNAcentral describes it as "partial 16S ribosomal RNA". It matches the Rfam family "Bacterial small subunit ribosomal RNA", at positions 524 to 796 of the family's 1533-position model. The record is from RNAcentral.
UACGUAGGGGGCAAGCGUUGUCCGGAUUCAUUGGGCGUAAAGAGCUCGUAGGCGGUUCAGUAAGUCGGGUGUGAAAGCUCCGAGCUCAACUCGGAGAGGCCACCCGAUACUGCUGUGACUUGAGUCCAGUAGAGGAGCGUGGAACUCCUGGUGUAGCGGUGGAAUGCGCAGAUAUCAGGAAGAACACCUGCAGCGAAGGCGGCGCUCUGGGCUGGAACUGACGCUGAGGAGCGAAAGCGUGGGUAGCAAACAGGAUUAGAAACCCUAGUAGUCC